RNAcentral lists this ribosomal RNA (373 nucleotides) under uncultured organism. RNAcentral's name for it is "partial 16S ribosomal RNA". It matches the Rfam family "Bacterial small subunit ribosomal RNA", at positions 527 to 896 of the family's 1533-position model. The record is from RNAcentral.
GUAGGGUCCGAGCGUUGUCCGGAGUUACUGGGCGUAAAGGGCGCGCAGGGCGGGUUAGUCGCGUCGGGAUGUGAAAGCCCCCGCUCAACGGGGGAAGGUCAUUCGAAACGGGCUGACUGGAGGCAGGGAGAGGUCGGUGGAAUUCCCGGUGUAGUGGUGAAAUGCGUAGAGAUCGGGAGGAACACCAGUGGCGAAGGCGGCCGACUGGACCUGACCUGACGCUGAGGCGCGAAGGCGUGGGGAGCGAACGGGAUUAGAGACCCCGGUAGUCCACGCAGUAAACGAUGUGCACUAGGUGUAGCGGGAGUUGACCCCGGCUGUGCCGGAGCAAACGCGGUAAGUGCACCGCCUGGGGAGUACGGCCGCAAGGCUA